UCUGCGAUUGUUAGUUUUGCA
This is a non-coding RNA of Caenorhabditis elegans, 21 nucleotides long. The record is from Ensembl. NCBI's taxonomy places the organism in Eukaryota, Metazoa, Nematoda, Chromadorea, Rhabditida, Rhabditidae.